GGAUGGAUAGCUCAGUUGGUUAGAGCGUCUGCUUUACACGCAGAAUGUCGUGGGUUCGAGUCCCUCUCCGUCCA
RNAcentral lists this transfer RNA (74 nucleotides) under Opitutales bacterium. RNAcentral describes it as "tRNA-Val". It matches the Rfam family "tRNA". Rfam says of the family: Transfer RNA (tRNA) molecules are approximately 80 nucleotides in length. Their secondary structure includes four short double-helical elements and three loops (D, anti-codon, and T loops). Further hydrogen bonds mediate the characteristic L-shaped molecular structure. tRNAs have two regions of fundamental functional importance: the anti-codon, which is responsible for specific mRNA codon recognition, and the 3' end, to which the tRNAs corresponding amino acid is attached (by aminoacyl-tRNA synthetases). tRNAs cope with the degeneracy of the genetic code in two manners: having more than one tRNA (with a specific anti-codon) for a particular amino acid; and 'wobble' base-pairing, i.e. permitting non-standard base-pairing at the 3rd anti-codon position. Lineage: Bacteria; Pseudomonadati; Verrucomicrobiota; Opitutia; Opitutales. The record is from RNAcentral. RNAcentral also lists the same sequence under 2 other names.